RNAcentral lists this ribosomal RNA (382 nucleotides) under Klebsiella pneumoniae. Its description in RNAcentral is "bacterial SSU rRNA". It matches the Rfam family "Bacterial small subunit ribosomal RNA", at positions 64 to 451 of the family's 1533-position model. The record is from RNAcentral. Lineage: Bacteria; Pseudomonadati; Pseudomonadota; Gammaproteobacteria; Enterobacterales; Enterobacteriaceae.
AAGCACAGAAAGCUUGCUCUCGGGUGACGAGCGGCGGACGGGUGAGUAAUGUCUGGGAAACUGCCUGAUGGAGGGGGAUAACUACUGGAAACGGUAGCUAAUACCGCAUAACGUCGCAAGACCAAAGUGGGGGACCUUCGGGCCUCAUGCCAUCAGAUGUGCCCAGAUGGGAUUAGCUAGUAGGUGGGGUAACGGCUCACCUAGGCGACGAUCCCUAGCUGGUCUGAGAGGAUGACCAGCCACACUGGAACUGAGACACGGUCCAGACUCCUACGGGAGGCAGCAGUGGGGAAUAUUGCACAAUGGGCGCAAGCCUGAUGCAGCCAUGCCGCGUGUGUGAAGAAGGCCUUCGGGUUGUAAAGCACUUCAGCGGGGAGGAAGG